RNAcentral lists this ribosomal RNA (500 nucleotides) under uncultured bacterium. RNAcentral's name for it is "partial 16S ribosomal RNA". It matches the Rfam family "Bacterial small subunit ribosomal RNA", at positions 30 to 523 of the family's 1533-position model. The record is from RNAcentral.
AUUGAACGCUGGCGGAAUGCUUUACACAUGCAAGUCGAACGAUGAACCUUAGCUUGCUAAGGGGAUUAGUGGCGAACGGGUGAGUAAUGUAUCGGAACGUAUCCAAUAAUGGGGGAUAACUAGUCGAAAGAUUAGCUAAUACCGCAUACGUCCUACGGGAGAAAGCUAGGGACCUUCGGGCCUGGCGUUAAUGGAGCGGCCGAUAUCUGAUUAGCUAGUUGGUGGGGUAAAGGCUCACCAAGGCGACGAUCAGUAGCUGGUCUGAGGGGACGACCAGCCACACUGGAACUGAGACACGGUCCAGACUCCUACGGGAGGCAGCAGUGGGGAAUUUAGGACAAUGGGCGAAAGCCUGAUCCAGCCAUUCCGCGUGAGUGAAGAAGGCCUUCGGGUUGUAAAGCUCUUUCGCAAGGGAAGAAAACUUAAGCUCUAACAUAGCUUGAGGUUGACGGUACCUUGAUAAGAAGCACCGGCUAACUACGUGCCAGCCGCCGCCGUAA